UAAGUAAAUUGGUCAAUCGCAUCGAUAGAUGAGGAAAGUCUGCGCUCCAUAGAGCAGGAUGCCGGUGAAAGACCGGUGGGGGCAACCCUAAGGAAAGUGCAACAGAGAGAUACCGCCUGAAGUUCAGGUAAGGGUGGAAAGGCGAGGUAAGAGCUCACCGGGUUAUUAGUAAUAAUAAUGCCAUGUAAACCCCAUUCGGAGCAAGACCAAGAUAGGAUAAAACAGAUGUUGCUCGCAUCUGCCGGAAGGUAGGUCGCUUUAAUUUAUUGGUGACAAUAAAUAUAGAUAGAUGAUUGAUAAAACAGAACGCAGCUUAUAGAUUUACUUACUUA
This 332-nucleotide RNase P RNA is filed under the name Peptoniphilus sp. oral taxon 386 str. F0131. Its description in RNAcentral is "Bacterial RNase P class A". It matches the Rfam family "Bacterial RNase P class A". From Rfam's summary of the family: Ribonuclease P (RNase P) is a ubiquitous endoribonuclease, found in archaea, bacteria and eukarya as well as chloroplasts and mitochondria. Lineage: Bacteria; Bacillati; Bacillota; Tissierellia; Tissierellales; Peptoniphilaceae. The record is from Rfam by way of RNAcentral.